Cydia strobilella is the source of this 780-nucleotide long non-coding RNA. RefSeq lists it as uncharacterized. The record is from RefSeq and is a predicted model, not a curated record. The transcript is spliced from 3 exons. NCBI's taxonomy places the organism in Eukaryota, Metazoa, Arthropoda, Insecta, Lepidoptera, Tortricidae.
CUGUCGGCCAUGACGUGCGUUAUAUUUUCGUCUUGGCUUAUUGUGACACACAACACAAACAACAAAUUGUGUGUAUUGUUGAUAGCCAGAUAUUAAGGGCCAACGAUCCGAGGUCGCAUUAGGAAUAAUUCGCUGCGGCAUUAGUUCAUUCUAUACUGCUUAGGAUACAUAACUGGACCGCGGAAAUACCGCUUGGUCAUCAGAAUGCUCAGUAAAAGCAAUAUAUGCUAUGAGGAUGUUUACAUCAUCAAGUGCUUUAGAGAGGCUACCAAACUUCAGCUACUUGCUUACACAUUCCGGAGACAGUUGAGCGGUCUCUGUAGCAAAGCUUCUGCAAAUGAUGUGUUUUAAGGGUUGUUUGCUGACAUCAGUGCACAUCAAGCCAUGCCCAACCAAAUGGUAAAUUUUGAAAUAAGCCAGAAUAAGGCAGAAUUACAUCAACUUGCUUAUUGCAAUGGUCUGUUGAGGCAAACGGUGAGCUACAAGCUUGACCUGAACUGGAGCAAGGCCAGAUGGAUUGCUGAAGAUAGGAAGGCUUGGCAUGAGCUUGUGAAGGCCCUCUGCACAUCUGGGGUGCUUUACGACAAAAGCACAAACUCGUUCCUGUCCCACAUGUCCAAAAAAAACAUGACCUGAAAAGAUGGGCAAGUAGAAAAAUGAUCAUCCUGCGAAUAUUCUAUGGAACAUGACAUGAGAUAGACGCUAAGACAAACUUGAGUUGACCAUAACCAAAACAAGUGAAAGAUUGUUAUUCUAACACUACACGAAGCACAGGGGAAA